This is a long non-coding RNA of Apis dorsata (giant honeybee), 264 nucleotides long. RefSeq lists it as uncharacterized. The record is from RefSeq and is a predicted model, not a curated record. The transcript has 2 exons. NCBI's taxonomy places the organism in Eukaryota, Metazoa, Arthropoda, Insecta, Hymenoptera, Apidae.
CACCUUUCCAGACUCUUAAAAUGGAAAGACAAAUAAUGGUGGUGGAACGAGCGCGGCAGACGACUGAUGGGUCUGGCAUGGCUCUAACUAGACGCAAUCAAGCGAGGAGCUUGGAGUUUGCGGCUGGUUACGAGGAGAGAGAGAGAGGGAGAAUGGGAGGAAUGAAGACUAACAGCGUGUCGCUCGGAGGCUAACCAGAAGAAGUUACGAAGGUUACGUCUCCGAAGAUAUUUUCUGAUUCGCAGGAAUGAUUCCAAACUUUUG